UCCUCAAUGGUCUAACGGCUAGGAUACAGCUCUUUCAUUAAGCGAGCAGCUGGGGCCAGGGUUCGACUCCCUGUUGGGGAA
This is a non-coding RNA of Clavulina sp. PMI_390, 81 nucleotides long. The record is from the annotation of a GenBank genome assembly. Lineage: Eukaryota; Fungi; Basidiomycota; Agaricomycetes; Cantharellales; Hydnaceae.